Small nuclear RNA from Suncus etruscus (white-toothed pygmy shrew), 162 nucleotides. RefSeq annotates it as U1 spliceosomal RNA. The transcript has a single exon. The record is from RefSeq and is a predicted model, not a curated record. Lineage: Eukaryota; Metazoa; Chordata; Mammalia; Eulipotyphla; Soricidae.
GAAAAUACCUGGCAGGAAAGAAAUCAUGAUCAUGAAGGUAAUUUUCGUAGGGUGCAUCUUAUCCAUUGUGAUCCGAAUGUGCUGACCCCUGUGAUUUCCCCAAAUGUUGGAAACUCGACUAUGUAAUUUGUGGGAGUGAGGGUCAGUGUUCACUGUCUCUCU